This 203-nucleotide ribosomal RNA is filed under the name uncultured bacterium. RNAcentral describes it as "partial 16S ribosomal RNA". It matches the Rfam family "Bacterial small subunit ribosomal RNA", at positions 355 to 576 of the family's 1533-position model. The record is from RNAcentral.
UGGGGGGUAUUGCACAAUGGAGGAAACUCUGAUGCAGCAACGCCGCGUGAAGGAUGAAGGUCUUCGGAUUGUAAACUUUUGUACUGGGGACGAUAAUGACGGUACCCAAGCAGCAAGCUCCGGCUAACUACGUGCCAGCAGCCGCGGUAAUACGUAGGGAGCAAGCGUUGUCCGGAUUUACUGGGUGUAAAGGGUGCGUAGGC